Long non-coding RNA from Polypterus senegalus (gray bichir), 367 nucleotides. RefSeq lists it as uncharacterized. The transcript is spliced from 3 exons. The record is from RefSeq and is a predicted model, not a curated record. NCBI's taxonomy places the organism in Eukaryota, Metazoa, Chordata, Cladistia, Polypteriformes, Polypteridae.
UUUUAGAAAUACAAAGAAAUUUGUUUAUUACAUCUGGAUUAAUAUGCAGUUUAUAAUGAGACAGAAGACCAAAUGACAGCACAGCAUUUUUAUAAAAUUCAAGAUAGUUAUUUCAGAUGAACACCUAGAAGACCCCCCCACUUUACAUAUAGCAGUCUGAUGAUCUAGGAGAAGAUGGGGAUGACUCCUUGGUAUUCAUCUCUUACAUCAGUCUAGUCCACAGUAUACAAGAGAGAAACACACCGCCUAGCAAGACCUAUUUAAACCUGUAUUUCUGCUAAUCUCCUGUACACCUACUGUAUCACAACAAAAAGAAAAACUGAAUUCAUGAUAUUCAAGUAUUUUCCCAUUUAUCAUUGCAAGCUGA